RNAcentral lists this ribosomal RNA (253 nucleotides) under uncultured bacterium. Its description in RNAcentral is "partial 16S ribosomal RNA". It matches the Rfam family "Bacterial small subunit ribosomal RNA", at positions 524 to 776 of the family's 1533-position model. The record is from RNAcentral.
CACGUAGGGCGCAAGCGUUGUCCGGAAUUAUUGGGCGUAAAGAGCUCGUAGGCGGUCUGUUACGUCUGCUGUGAAAACCCGGGGCUUAACCCCUGGCUUGCAGUGGAUACGGACAGACUAGAGGUAGGUAGGGGAGAAUGGAAUUCCCGGUGUAGCGGUGAAAUGCGCAGAUAUCGGGAGGAACACCGGUGGCGAAGGCGGCGAUCUGGGUAGAUACUGACGCUGAGGUGCGAAAGCGUGGGGAGCAAACAGG